Molecule: long non-coding RNA, 439 nt
Filed under: Capra hircus (goat)
Lineage: Eukaryota; Metazoa; Chordata; Mammalia; Artiodactyla; Bovidae
Description: lncRNA (ENSCHIG00000006861.1)
Source: RNAcentral
CCUUGUCUUGUUCCUGACUUUAGCGGAAAUUCUUUCAAUGCUCUACACUGCAUUCUAUAAGUACCUCAGUGUCUCUCUCUUUUUUUUUUUCUCUCCAGACAUUCAUGAAUGACCAGUUUUUAUGACUGUGGAUGCACUGAUGACAUCAUUGCUGACUGUCCCAGGGAGAAGCAUUGGACUCUCCACUUGAGAAACAACUGCUUUAAAAUAGCCAAAGUCAUAAAUCAUAGGUGGUAUCCUGUGAAUAUGAAGUCCUCAGAGCUUCCAGAAAGCAGAUUUGAAUUUUGACUACAGCUUACCUUAUCAAGAAACCAACCCCUUACAUGCCAGCAUGAUCACAUGGAAAAAAGUAGUAAGAAAAACAAUCCUUUAUGUUAUCAUUGAAUUUCUGUAUGAAGCCAUCCCUGAAACUUCAUUUACCAGUCCUUUCAACUCUAUG